RNAcentral lists this long non-coding RNA (3907 nucleotides) under Crocodylus porosus (Australian saltwater crocodile). RNAcentral's name for it is "lncRNA (ENSCPRG00005011222.1)". The record is from RNAcentral. Lineage: Eukaryota; Metazoa; Chordata; Crocodylia; Crocodylidae.
AUUACUUUUAACAAGGUGCUAGAUAUAAUACUCUGAUACCACAGAUACCAGAGUGCCCUCAAAUUCCAUUGACUCCAAGUGAGGAUAUUCAGCAGUUCCUAAUUCAGACCUCACCAUAUCAGGAUGAUUGCCAAGUGGGAGUUCUAUGCAGUAAUGAAAAUAUUAGCAGUUAGUGCACAAUAGUAUGGCAGUAUGUCUUCCUGGCAGUUGGAAAACAAUACUUUCCUUAAUAAACAUAGAGAACACCUGCCUUUUGUCUAUUAUUCCUGGCAGUACUUUGACUGUCUAUCACUGGGCUCUUUAUUGCACUACAAGAGGGAAGUUGGUGACAGCACAGACAUGAGGAUCCCUUGGAUGGAAGAGAUGCUAGCUCUUCAUGGUACAGAUUCUGUAGGGGUCAUUUUAAUUGUCUUUAGCUGACUACAGAAGCUCCAUAAAGGCAUAGUGUGUUAGGGGAAGUGUCCCAUCCAAUCUGCUGUCCAGAUGAUAGUGGUCAUCUUUCAAUAUAUGGAAAAGUGGAAAAUCCCUUCUCCUUUAGAAGCUGAGUUUGGAGUGCAGUGAAUUAUUAAUCUACAAUGGGGAACACUUCAGAAGAAUGCAGCUCAGGAGUCCGCUACCACACUCCUGUCAAGACUAAUGGAUUUACUUGGCUUUCAUUUGGCACAGGGGGAAGAUGGGGUUUAAUUUCUGAGGCAAUUUUUAAAAAGCUACAUAAAACUAAAGUUCUGGGGAGGGACUGUUAUUUGUUUCUUUACCCCAGUCUUAUUAGACAGAUCAAUGUUUCAAAAGGCUUUGCAAAUUGCAGGGGUAGAUACUGAUUUCAUCACACCAAGCUGAUGCUAUAACGGGUUAUAUGUUUUCCCACAGGUCAGAAUUCAGGGUUGUUUGUGUACCCAGUUUACAUAUUCAAUUGACUCGAUUGAUAUAUGUCUUUAUGUGCAUAUGCAUGUAACAACUGCACAUGGACAGUCUUGAAAUCCAGGUCAGUAUACUGACAUUUUGAGAAGUGGGGAAAACAAAGAAAGAAAAACAAAGAAACCUUUCAUAUCUUUUUCCACAUUCAGAGUAAAAAUAGUUUCCUACUUAUAUGCUUAUAGUUCAUAAAUAUACUCUGUGAGCCAGAUUCUCAGAGAGUCUAGAUCAGUGUCAUUAUCAGUUCCUUUCUUUCAUUAGAGAAAAAUAUUUAAGUCAGCAGAUAGAAUUUUCCUAUUAUAAAGCAUGCAACAGCUGAGUUAAACAACAAAAAUGCUUAAGUAGGAGAGAAAGAAAAGAUCCUUUUCUUCAUUUUUAGAUAAAUUGUUUCAUUCUGGAAGUUUCUUACUAUCUUGGAAUGGAAGAACCAAUAAUGUUAGAGUAGGGAUUGUCGGCAAAUAACCAUUAGAAGAAAAUUAGGGAAGCUUUAGAAGAGGUCUAUGAGCUGGAACAUAUAAUGGGAAAAUUCAUUAAAGACUGACCAACCCUGAGACAGAGCUGAGAAAAGAGAAAGAAUUCAUUCCAAUUGUUACUUUGAAGAUUAUACCACAGACUGGCUACCAAGACAUUUUGUUUAUUAAUUUAUUGAACGUACCAUCGAAAGAGGAAGCAGGGUAAAGAACAGAAAGUAGCACUUUGGGGAAGCUGGUUUAUUUUCAUUAUUUACCAGCCCUCUCUUCAUUUUAUUAUUUUAUUUUUCUUCCUAAUCUUAUAUUUAGAUAAGAGGUCUCAAAUCUACAGGAUUAUUAAGGCCCUGGCAGUUUUUAUGAGUGUAAGAUGUUAGUUUCUGUCACAGUAUCAAUGAAAAUUAGGCAAAAGAAAAUUAGAAGGCUUAUAGAAGGGGUAUAGAUUGAUGUUUGUUUUCAAUGAAACCCCUGUCCUGCUCAAAUUCUCAGUUGGUUAGUUAUAUUUUGGGCACAUCUACAUGAGAUGCUACAUCACCAUAGUGAUGCUAUGGCGGUGUUGCUUAUUGCUGUGGUGAUGUAGCAUCAGCUGGCAUGAGCUGUGACUCCAGUGCUAUCACACAGUAGCAGCAAGCUACUGCGUAGUAGUGUCAGAAACAACCCCUGGGGUGCUGGGACUGCACGGUAAUAGUGGUUACUGUGCAGUCAUUUAGUAUUUGCUUAGUACUUACUUAAGCAAGUACUAAAUGACUGCACAGUAACAACUGCACAGUCUAGCACACAUAGAUUCACCCUCUGACUCUCAAAAUUCAGCUUGAGGAUUAGAUGAAUAAUCUGUCUGACAUAUAAUACUGUUGAUGCAAAGUACACGGGUUUUAGAAGGAUACAUAGUGACACCUGGUACUAGAAGAGAGUCAACCUUCACUUUGUAAGUGCCAGCACACCAAGGGGAAAUUAUAUCUUCUAAUGCCUCAAAUUGUUGUGCUCUUCAGAUUUUGUGUUAUAUUUUCUCACCAUUUUCUGUAGACCCCUCCAAAGGAAGCUUAAUCCAAUGUUUUUAGAACUGUAUCUUCAGGAAUUCUGCUCUCCCACCAAAGAAUGGUGUGAUGUUUCCUGAUUUCUUGUUUUUGCCUGUCUUUUGUUAGGGCCUGAAUUACCAAAACACUUAUGUGCAUGAUUUACAUUAGAAAAAUCAGGAUUUCCUAAGACCUUGAACAAGUUAUUUAAGCACCUUGGCUCACAUUCUGCUCUGCUCCACUUCUGAGAGCUUUUAGUUGUUUAAGCCAAGCUACAGAUUGAUAUAGAUUCUCUAUACAUCUCCAUUUUAGCUUGAAAACAUCCAUAGGCAGCUACACUUGGCCUUCUGGGCAUGCUCAGAAGUGAUCCAAUGAUGCUGCAUAGCUAUCUAAUUCCAUUUACAUUCUCUUGCAAUCCAAAUCUAAGUGGAAAGUGUAUAAUCUCUAUAAAUCUCCACAUUCCUAGGUAAAGGAGGACUGCAUUUAGCAACUAUUUGAUAAGUUAGCUAUUCCCAACUUUUGUCCAGUAACUUGUUGGUUAAAACACAUGCCUAGGAAGUGAGAGAUUGGGUUCUAGGCCCAUUUCACCCUGCAAAGAUUUGAAUAUCUAUUUUUCAGUCUCAUCCAUAAGGUAAGCAAGGCACACAGUAUCAUACUCCACCCCUUCGGCUGAAGCUGGGCCACUGGGCAAAAGAUUAGUGGAGCCAAAAGGAAAGCAAGCAAAAAUAUCCUUAUUUCUGCAGCCCAAUCAGAUAGCUGCUCUUUGUUCACAAUGCUGUUUAUUCACGUUAUCCAAUGAUUAUUUAAUUUAAAACACAUGAACAACACUAGCUACAGCCGCUGGGGGUCAAAGCAUCUUUUCUUCCACCCAGGGCAGGUACAAUGCAUCCCUAGAAUUACUUAAGUUUUUUUUGUUGUUGCGAGAAUGAGAGAGCCCUGCAAUUCUGCACAUAUAAUUGGACCCACCUUUGGGACUGCACAAGACUGAAAGGACUAGGCAUCUCCCUGCUUGGGCUUCGAUAUCUCUUGUGAGUUUGAGUUGUGCUUUGUAAGCCAACAUCAGCAAAAAGUUUAGAUAACUCAGGAGCAGACUAGGAUCAGGGCCAUUGUGCCUCUAUUUGCCUGAUUGUGAAAAGUGUAAUGUCAGUCUGUUAUUAAUGCAUAAAUAAUGUAAGAUAUACAAAAACAAAAAGUGAACAGCUAAUUAAAAAGGAUUUGGCAAUUCUCAAACACACCAUAUUUGAAUAAUCUAUGCUUAACAUAAACAGAUCUUUCUAUAUGCUUUCUACAUGCACUUAGCUAUUGGAUGUUGGGGAAAAAUAUUCCUUCACUCAUGUUUCAGUAAUUAUUCAGUGUAUUUUUAGAUUUACCUUUGUUUCUUGAAGAACAGACAUUAGUUACUGAUUUUAAAAAACAACCAGUAUGCUUCAGGGUUUUUUUUAAGAUGCCUUUCUACAAGUAUUGACAAGGGAAAAUGGUUAGAAAACAACAAAAAUAAAAGGUUUUUUUCCCUCA